Molecule: ribosomal RNA, 348 nt
Filed under: Hirudo troctina
Lineage: Eukaryota; Metazoa; Annelida; Clitellata; Hirudinida; Hirudinidae
Description: partial small subunit ribosomal RNA
Source: RNAcentral
UUUUAUUCAAUAUACAAAUUGGAGAGUACGAGCAAUAGCUUAAAAACUAAAGAAUAUGGCGGUGUUUUAUUCAAUCAGGGUGACAUGUAUCUUAAUUUGAUGGUCCACGGUUUUUAAACCUGACUUUGAAAUUCAGCAUGUGUACUGCCGUUUUACAUAGUUUUAAAAAAUUGUGUAUAAUAUAUGGAUUCCUCAUAUAGUUAGUCAGGUCAAAGUGCAGUCUAUAGUCAGGCGAGAUUGUGUUACAUUUAUUUAAACAUUCAAUUUAUUGAUUUAAAUUUUGAUAAAAAGAAGAACUUGAUAGUAAUUAGAUUGAUUUAAUUUAAUGAAAAGGAUUUUAACGCGUAC